This 113-nucleotide non-coding RNA is filed under the name unclassified sequences. The record is from Rfam.
AAGCGAUGAUACCAAGGGGCGUGCCAAGAGCGUUGCUUGGUUGAGCUUUCAGGAGGGGUUGCACAGUGAAACCUCAACUUGGCUUAGGCGUUUGCCGAAAGAAAAUGUGAAUG